AUGUAUAUAUAUAUAUACACGAUAAAAUUGAAACGAUAUAGAGAAGAUUGGCAUGGGCCCUGCGCAUAUAACACAUAAAUCGAGAAAUGGUCCAAAUUUUU
Molecule: non-coding RNA, 101 nt
Organism: Phoenix dactylifera (date palm)
Lineage: Eukaryota; Viridiplantae; Streptophyta; Magnoliopsida; Arecales; Arecaceae
Source: RefSeq, a predicted model, not a curated record